This 394-nucleotide ribosomal RNA is filed under the name Pterocystida sp. Its description in RNAcentral is "partial small subunit ribosomal RNA". It matches the Rfam family "Eukaryotic small subunit ribosomal RNA", at positions 582 to 975 of the family's 1831-position model. The record is from RNAcentral. Lineage: Eukaryota; Centroplasthelida; Pterocystida.
AUUCCAGCUCCAAUAGCGUAUAUUAAAGUUGUUGCAGUUAAAAAGCUCGUAGUCUGACCGUUGUCCUGGCAUUGAGCGUCCGUGGUUACUGAUCAUGUGUACGCGAGGUGCUGGACACUACCUUCGGAGGAGCGUUCGUGCUUUUAACUAAGUGCGUGCGGGAUUCCGAUAGUUUACUUUGAGAAAAAUAGAGUGUUCAAAGCAGGCGUUUGCCUUGAAUACAUUAGCAUGGGAUAAUGAAAUAGGACGUUGGUUCUAUUUUGAUGGUUUACGGACCGACGUAAUGAUUAAUAGGGACAGUUGGGGACAUUUAUAUUCCAUGGCUAGAGGUGAAAUUCUUGGAUUCAUGGAAGAUAAACUACUGCGAAAGCAUUUGUCAAAGAUGUUUUCAUUA